Long non-coding RNA from Lethenteron reissneri (Far Eastern brook lamprey), 598 nucleotides. RefSeq lists it as uncharacterized. NCBI's taxonomy places the organism in Eukaryota, Metazoa, Chordata, Hyperoartia, Petromyzontiformes, Petromyzontidae. The record is from RefSeq and is a predicted model, not a curated record.
UGUCACGUGGUGCCGUCGGCAGCGCCAGGCCGCGAGCCGCUCGGCGAGACGCUCCUCGCCGCGACGUUUCUUGGCGUAGAGAAGCACCGUGACUGCGCGCCGGGACGGCCCCGUUAGAACCACGAGAGGCUCCGAUCGCGCCGCACGAAUCCCCGUGCCGACGUCGACGACGAACUCACCGGCAAGCAGCAGCAGGCCGAGCAGGACGGAGCCGGUGGCGGUGGCGCGGUCGCCAUCGUCGUUGUCGUCGUCGUCGUCGUCGAGGUUGCCGGGCGGCAGGCAGAUGUCAACGGCCUCGUCGGCGAUGGCGACAGCCGCGUCGGGCCACACGGCGAGGGCGCUUUUCUUCACGUUCGGAAGAAGCAGCAGCGGCGUCCUCGUGCCGCUCGCCACAGGAACACCUGCCACACGGAGACGAAGAGUCGACUCAGCCUCAACCGAGUACUCGGCGCGGCAUGUAAACAUCGCCACGAGGGAGACACAGGAGGCCGCGCGUGGUGCUGGCCACCCACCCACCCCUCGUGUGCCACAGUGCCGGCCUUCAUAGAUGGAGCGCCGGCUAAUGCUUGCUCUCAACGUCCCUGAGAAUGACCCCGGG